This 2889-nucleotide ribosomal RNA is filed under the name Triticum aestivum (bread wheat). RNAcentral describes it as "partial small subunit ribosomal RNA". Lineage: Eukaryota; Viridiplantae; Streptophyta; Magnoliopsida; Poales; Poaceae. The record is from RNAcentral.
AUGGGGCGAUCGAAGCCGGUCAUGGAAGAGUUGGAUCCGGCGGAAUUAAUCCAUCUCAAGGAGGAGGUGCUGGCAAAUCGUGAGGAGACCACGGGCUUGCGUGAGGAAGUGGAUCUGUUACGGAAAGAGGUUCAAUCCACCAACUCCAAACAGGAUUCGAUGUGCAAGGUAAUUACUGACGUCCAAACUGCAAUAUCAGCAUUAAGUGGUCAGUUAUCUGCAAUUACGGAUGUGCUCAAAUCUCUGAACACGAAUGGAGCUUCCACAUCUGCUAAUCAGCGUCCUCUUCCAAAUACCCAAGAGCAGCAACGGGAGAAAUCCCCUGAGGUUGAAAUUGCCAAGGAAUCUGCAGAGGAAAAUAGACCUUUUACAGAAGAAUUACGCAAGCACUUUGCUCUUGAACAAGAGAAAACCCGGCAGUAUGCAGAGUUACUAAAUUCUGAUCUUCCUCCUAUUAACACUGGUCGUCGUCCAACUCCACCAGGAUUAACGACUGUUGGUAAUCAUGGGUUACAGUCAGGUCAGGUCUCUCCCGGCCAAGUGGCUCGAACUGCUCGAACUCCUGCUUUCACUCAGAUGCAGCAGCAAUCUAAUCGCCUCCAGUGGGAUGAUUACCCAAAAGCAUAUGAGAAAGAUAUGAGAGCUCAAUUUCUUAAAUCCAUGACCAAGGGACCAAAGAUGGAAUUCCCACGGUUUGAUGGUACAAAUCCUGGGGGUUGGAUUCGGCAAGCGGAGAAGUAUUUUCAAAUGGCUGGGGCACCAUCAGAAUACAAGGUUUCUUUGGCUCAGAUGUAUUUUGUGGGCAGGGCAGAUGUGUGGCUCAGAAGGGCAGGAAUUCUCAAGAAACAGUAUAAUUGGGCACAGUUCUGUGAAGAGAUUUUGCACAGAUUCUCUGCCUCCAGCACAUAUGAUUUAGUGGACAGAUUUAAUGCUUUCAAGCAAAAUAAUUUGUCCAUUGCCGAGUAUACUGACCAGUUUGAGGAAUUAAUGGCGGAAGUUCAAGAAGACAACCCAAAUCUGACUGAGAUGUGGUUUGUAAAGUGUUAUGUUAACGGGAUGAGGGCUACUAUUAAGUUCCAGCUCCGGCCACUUAGGCCACAAACACUGACAGAUGCUUAUUGGCUUGCAGUGGAUAUUGAGCAAGCAACCCCUGCAAGAAAGCCUUAUCCUGCUCUCACUGCAGACAAAAGCAAGUUCUCAUUUCAGAAUUACAAGUCUCCGGGCAUGACUGUCGACAAGAACACUGAUGGUAAGGGUCCUCCUGUGAAUCAGAGAGCAAGAGAACCAGGAAAGUGUUGGAGGUGUGGGGAUGUCUGGUUCCAUGGGCACAAGUGCAAACAAGCACCCGUUAUUAAUUUGCUUACGGGUGAGGAACCAACUGACUCUUCUACUGAACAAGAGGAAAUAACCGAAACUGAACAAGCAGAGCAGCAGCCUGUAGAUGAGAAUUGCAUGCACAUUUCUUUGCAAGCCAUGAGUACUAGUAGAGUAAGUACAUUAUCGGUGCUGGUGAACAUUGGGGGUAAGCAGGCAGUGGCUUUAGUGGAUUCAGGCAGUAAUUCCACUUUCAUGAACCUCAAGUUUGCUUUAACAACAAGCUGUUCUAUAGUCAGGGAUACGUCCAGAGCAGUAGCUGUUGCGGGUGGGGGUGUACUGUGGUCAGGGGCUUACAUUCCUGCAACCAAAUUUCAAAUGGGCAAGGAACAAUUUGAGCAUCCUUUUAGAGUGUUGGAUCUUCCUGGAUAUGAUAUAGUAAUUGGCUGUGAUCUUCUAGCUCAGCAUAGCCCAGUAUCUUUUGACUAUGAGAACAAGCAGGUCAUAUUGACAAAGGACAAGCUUCAGCAAGUCACUAUCCCAGCCUGCAAUUCAUUCGCUGCAGCAACUGAAAUUCCCAGUACAGAGUUAGCUUCUAUGCUGGCAGCUGGUACUAGUGGUUAUGCACUUUUUCUAAUCAGAGAUGUUUCAAUGAAAAAGCCUCCUCAGCAUGUAACACCUCCUGAAGUGGAGCAGGUUUUGCAGCAAUAUCCUGAAGUCUUUGCAGAACCACAGGGACUACCACCUGAAAGGAGUUGUGAUCAUAAAAUCCCACUGAAACCUGGGUCUGCCCCACCUAAUAUUAGGCAAUAUAGAAUUCCUCAUAAGCACAGGGAUGAAGUGGAAAAGCAAGUACAACAAUUGUUGAAAUCUAAGGUUAUUAGACCUAGUCAGAGUCCCUAUGCUUCUCCAGUGAUAGUAGUUCCUAAGAAAGAUGCCACAUGGAGGUUAUGCACUGAUUUCAGGGACUUAAAUUCUAUCACUGUCAAGGACAAGUUUCCUAUUCCUGUAAUUGAAGACCUGCUUGAUGAGCUGCAUGGAGCAAAGUUUUUCACUAAAUUCGAUUUGCGGUCAGGAUAUCAUCAGAUCAGGAUGAAUAAGGAGGAUAUACCAAAGACUGCAUUCAGAACUCAUUUUGGUCAUUUUGAAUAUCUAGUGAUGCCCUUUGGUCUCUCUAAUGCUCCCAGCACCUUUCAAGCUUUAAUGAAUGCAAUAUUUGGCAAGUACUUGAGAAAAUUCAUAUUGGUGUUCUUUGAUGAUAUAUUGAUCUUUAGUCAUACUCUGGAGGAACACUUGGAACAUUUGAAAGUGGUGCUUGAUCUUCUUAAAGAACAUCAAUUGAGAGUAAAUUUGUCCAAGUGCUUAUUUGCUGUUCAGCAAGUGGAUUAUCUGGGGCACAUCAUUAAUGAACAUGGGGUGUCUACAGAUCCGGAAAAAGUUAGUGCGGUUAAGGAUUGGCCCACUCCUACCACAGCAACUCAACUAAGAGGAUUUCUAGGUUUAUGCGGGUACUACAGAAGAUUUGUUCAACACUUUGGAUUAAUUGCAAGGCCUCUGCAUGAUAUGUUGAAGCAA